CAAGGCAAAAUAUCAUGAGUGC
RNAcentral lists this non-coding RNA (22 nucleotides) under Rattus norvegicus (Norway rat). The record is from RNAcentral. Lineage: Eukaryota; Metazoa; Chordata; Mammalia; Rodentia; Muridae.